RNAcentral lists this ribosomal RNA (292 nucleotides) under uncultured bacterium. RNAcentral describes it as "partial 16S ribosomal RNA". It matches the Rfam family "Bacterial small subunit ribosomal RNA", at positions 505 to 796 of the family's 1533-position model. The record is from RNAcentral.
GUGCCAGCAGCCGCGGUAAUACGGAGGGUGCAAGCGUUAAUCGGAAUUACUGGGCGUAAAGCGUGCGUAGGCGGCUUAUUAAGUCAGAUGUGAAAGCCCUGGGCUUAACCUGGGAACUGCAUUUGAAACUGGUAAGCUAGAGUUGAGUAGAGGAGAGUGGAAUUUCAGGUGUAGCGGUGAAAUGCGUAGAGAUCUGAAGGAACACCAGUGGCGAAGGCGGCUCUCUGGACUCAAACUGACGCUGAGGUACGAAAGCGUGGGUAGCAAACAGGAUUAGAUACCCCUGUAGUCC